UGGGGAAUCUUGCGCAAUGGUCUAACGACUGACGCAGCGACGCCGCGUGUGGGAGGACGCCUUUCGGGGUGUAAACCACUGUUGCCCGGGACGAACUGCGCGAUUUGUCGCGCGUGACGGUACCGGGUGAGGAAGCACCGGCUAACUCCGUGCCAGCAGCCGCGGUAAUACGGAGGGUGCGAGCGUUGUCCGGAAUCAUUGGGCGUAAAGGGCGCGUAGGUGGCCCGGUCAGUCCGUGGUGAAAGCGCGGGGCUCAACCCUGCGUCGGCCAUGGAUACUGCCGCGGCUCGAGCACUGUAGAGGCAGGCGGAAUUCCGGGUGUAGCGGUGGAAUGCGUAGAGAUCCGGAAGAACACCGGUGGCGAAGGCGGCCUGCUGGGCAGUAUGGCUGACACUGAGGCGCGACAGCGUGGGGAGCAAA
RNAcentral lists this ribosomal RNA (420 nucleotides) under uncultured bacterium. Its description in RNAcentral is "bacterial SSU rRNA". It matches the Rfam family "Bacterial small subunit ribosomal RNA", at positions 355 to 772 of the family's 1533-position model. The record is from RNAcentral.